GAUACAAUGAUGAUAACAUAGUUCAGCAGACUAACGCUGAUGAGCAAUAUUAAGUCUUUCGCUCCUAUCUGAUGUAUCUGGCGGUAACAUUCUAGUUUAUGCCCUGAAAAGGGGAAUAUAGCCAUUCUAUAAUGUUUGGAGAUUUUGGAUUACUCCUAAUUGUAUGCAAGUUGUCUUACUGUGUAUUGUCCCUUAAUUUCAGGACUCAGAAUUCAUGAUUGAAGAAAUGCAGGUUAGUUUAAACUUUUAAGGAAAUUUUUAAGGUGGCAAAAGGUUUUGGUGGCAUAUACACCUUAAUCUGUAGAUGGGAGUGAUUAGCUGUUUAAAAGUUAAAAUGUGACUGAGAAGGAAAUUGAGUAGGGCAAAUUUUAAAUGGGUAUUAUUUUUCAUCUUCAAACAGGCAGACCUGUUAUCCUAAACUAGGGUUUUUAACGACCACAACAAGCAAGCAUGCAGCUUACUGCUUGAAAGGGUCUUGCCUCACCCAAGCUGGAGUGCAGUGGCCUUUGAAGCUUACUACAGCCUCAAACUUCUGGGCUCAAGUGAUCCUCAGCCUCCCAGUGGUCUUUGUAGACUGCCUGAUGGAGUCUCAUGGCACAAGAAGAUUAAAACAAUGUCUCCAAUUUUAAUAAAUUUUUGCAAU
This 643-nucleotide small RNA is filed under the name Pan troglodytes (chimpanzee). RNAcentral's name for it is "retained intron". The stretch from base 1 to 80 matches the Rfam family "Small nucleolar RNA snR60/Z15/Z230/Z193/J17". Lineage: Eukaryota; Metazoa; Chordata; Mammalia; Primates; Hominidae. The record is from RNAcentral.